GACGAACGCUGGCGGCGUGCUUAACACAUGCAAGUCGAGCGAUGAAGUUUUCUCGGAAUGACGGUUUUGUGACUGAGUGGCGGACGGGUGAGUAACGCGUGGAUAACUUGCCUCAUACAGGGGGAUAACAGCCGGAAACGGCUGCUAAUACCGCAUAAGCGCACGGUACCGCAUGGUACAGUGUGAAAAACUCCGGUGGUAUGGGAUGGAUCCGCGUCUGAUUAGCCAGUUGGCGGGGUAACGGCCCACCAAGGCGACGAUCAGUAGCCGGUCUGAGAGGAUGAACGGCCACAUUGGGACUGAGACACGGCCCAGACUCCUACGGGAGGCAGCAGUGGGGAAUCUUGCACAAUGGGGGAAACCCUGAUGCAGCGACGCCGCGUGAACGAAGAAGUAUUUCGGUAUGUAAAGUUCUAUCAGCAGGGAAGAUAAUGACGGUACCUGACUAAGAAGCACCGGCUAAAUACGUG
Molecule: ribosomal RNA, 470 nt
Filed under: uncultured bacterium
Lineage: Bacteria
Description: bacterial SSU rRNA
Rfam family: Bacterial small subunit ribosomal RNA
Source: RNAcentral